RNAcentral lists this unclassified non-coding RNA (436 nucleotides) under Hevea brasiliensis (rubber tree). The record is from RNAcentral. Lineage: Eukaryota; Viridiplantae; Streptophyta; Magnoliopsida; Malpighiales; Euphorbiaceae.
CCACCGCCUGUGGCGUGUGCGCCACCACCACCGCGGCCAUGUUCAUGUUCAUCAUCAGUACCAUCACCACCACCAGUAACACCAUCACAUACAUUUCCACCACCUUCCACUGCAGUCAAUCCUUCUUCUCCACCUGAAAUCAAUCCUCCAAUAGUUUCAAGUCCAUUUCCAUUUCCAUUUUCACCACCAGCACCAUCUUAAUUAGUGUAUGCCAAUAUAUAUGUGCAACUACUCGUACGCCACUAUGACUAGAAUAACAUGGAAAACUUGUUUUCCUCCGUUUGUGUUUAGCAAGUGCCCUAUAUGUAAUAGCCAGUUCAUUAUAUAAUUUCUCUUCCAUUUGUGUUUUUAGUCCUUUUGCUUCUUAGUUAUUUAUCAAUUGUUGCCAAGUUUUGAUGUUCUUUUUCUAUUUUAAUAAAAUUUAAUUGCUUAUAAA